ACAGCAGCCAAAACAUGGAAGCAACCCGAGCGACCGCGGACAGAUGAAUAAAUAAACAAGAUGUGGUCUCUACGCGACAGAAUAGGCUUGGCCUCCUCAAGGGCGGGAAUUCUGACACCUGCUAUGACAAGGACUGAACCUUGCACUCAUCGUGCUGAGGGAAAUACGCCGGUCACAGGGGGGGAAAUGCUCUCUUCUUCCCAAAUAAACCCAUUUUUGCUGGUAGAAACCGGCAGUGUUAUAUUUAAGGUAAACAGAACUAAUAAGCACGCCCGCAGGAUACGAGAUCAACACACAAACACCACGUGCACAUCUACAGACUCCCGACGACCCAUCGGAAAGAGAAGUGAAGACACGAUCCCAUUUACAACUGCCUCAGAAGGAACGAAGGGCCCGGGAGGAAACCUAAGCAGGAGGUGACAGGCCUGCUCUCUGAGGACAGGGCACUGGGGACAGAAACGGAGGAAGACGGCACAGGGACGGAGAGCUACUCUGUGCUCCUGGAGGUGGAGGAAUCGAUCCUGUGACCACGUCCGUCCUGCCCAGAGCGAUCUGCAGAUCCGGGGCCAUCGCACCGAACUCCCCACGACGCCGUCACGGACACGGGAGGGACACCCCGACCCGCGCGCGGAGACGGGACGGACCCCGCGCGGCCAGAGCGGCGGGAGCGCAAGCACCGCCGGAGAACUUGCUCCAGGACCGCGAACCGCGUAAGGACGCGGCGGGAACCGAGUCGGCGCGGGGCAGGAAGACGGACGCGCGGCCCCGCAGGCCCGGAGCCCGGAGCUGGAUGACCCGACGGCCGCGCGCACAACCCCGCGGGGGACACAGUGUUACCGCGCACGAAGCCGCGCCGGGCCCUUGCCCCGCCGGGUCCCCUGAACACCGACCCCCUCAGCAUCCCCGCUCCGGAAGCUCCUCCUCCCCGGGCCUCGCUUUCUCCUCACCUGCUCCUCCCGCGGCGGGUCCUGAGGAGACGGGUUCUUGUCGGCGUGCACGCGGCCCCACGUUCUCCCGAAGCCGCCACAGCUCGGGUCCUGAAGAAGCGGAGCUCCUGUCACGCAAGAGGCGGGCUCAAUGCGCGUGCGCGCGCCCGCGUCAGGGAGCGGGGCUCGGGCGCCCCCUGCAGGCAGUGGAGGUAGUGCGGGACAACACUGGGCUCACAGGUCCGUGGAGGCAGCGCCCCCUCCUGGCCGCCCACUAAAUCCAUGACAUUUUGGAAAUUGAAACUGAAGCGGAGCUCACUGUCCCCCAACUUCGCCAAAAAUAGUUAAAGAACAAUUAAUUGGAAACCAUAUGAAAUUAAAUGUACACACAAACUUUACAACCUACACCAAAAUUCACUGGACCCGCAGAUAAAUUCAAAAUGCAAACAGAAAGAGCAGCUCUUCCUGCCCACAGGUCCUGUCCCUGUGCUUCAAUAAAAUCACCUUUGUGCACCAAAGGCGUUUUCAAGAAUUCUUUCUUGGCAUGGGCUCAGGACCCCGCGAACCCCACUAUCACCCCCAAAAACCUCAUCAUUUAUAUGGCGCCCAUCCUGUGGGGCGAUGAGUCUUUUCAUCUGUACUCUGAGCUGGUGCAAACUUGAUGAGUACUCUUUCCUUCCUUUGCCCUCAUUUCAGGGCCUUUUGAGAAGAAUGCUCUUACUGGAACACUUUCAUGUCAAUCACGCAGGCUGCAAUCCCCUCAACCAUGGCUACUCUACGGGGAGAAGAAAGCCUGCCUUAUGGCUGGAAGUUAGUACCCUGGCCAGAACGGUAACAUUUUUAAGGAACUAAGAAUGACUAUGAAGCAUGACGCCAAUAAAGCCCCUUGGAAAUGUUGGCCUGAUACCUUGCUUACAGAGUUCCCAGAAGCCUUACAAGUGUCUCCCUGCCUGGUGCCAACACUCCUUCACAGCCAUAACUUCUAGAAGAUAGCUGAUCCUUUCUACUCAAGGAGGUUCAUAUAUGUUGUCUACCUUGGAUUGGCUGCCUCUGCCAGUGGUAACUCCUAUGUAUAAAUACCUUCCCCAAUUGACCAAUAUUGGCCCAUAGGUAGGGACAUCUCUAUGCCCCUACUCAGCAGGAAGAAGUUACAGAAGAUGAGACCUUCCACCCUCAGCAACCUCAAAGAUUUUAAGGGUCAAAAUUGUCCAGGGGGGAAUGAUGUGGGAAACAAAGGCAGAAGGAAAUGGCAGAUAAAAGUAAAUUUCCCUAUAACCUGCAGCCCAUUGGCAAAUACUUGAGGAAGGUUUCUCCAGGAACUCCCUACUGUCUCAAUGCUAAUGAUUUGCUAGGGGGAAAGACAAUAUUAGCUUGACAAUAGCUAGUCCUCCAAUAUCCAGUGAGUCUUCUUUAGCAUAUGAAAAUCUCACUAGAGGGGCACCUGGGUGGGUCAGGCUCAGGCCCUGACAGCUCAGAGCCUGGAGCCCCCUUCAGAUUCUGUAUCUCCCCCCUCUCUCUGCCCCUCCCAUGCUCAUGCUCUGUCUCUGUGUCUUAAUAAUAAAUAAACGUUAAGAAAAACAGAAAAGAAAA
Long non-coding RNA from Neofelis nebulosa (Clouded leopard), 2516 nucleotides. RefSeq lists it as uncharacterized. The transcript is spliced from 2 exons. The record is from RefSeq and is a predicted model, not a curated record. Lineage: Eukaryota; Metazoa; Chordata; Mammalia; Carnivora; Felidae.